GUGUCGGGAGUGUUCCCAGGUGCCCCACGCGCCUUCGCUGUGCUCGCCUUCAGCUCGGCUAAUGAUGAUGCCUUCCUUCCUUUGAACACGUCAUACCGCUGGUUUGAUUUGAGAAAUACAGUAAUGUUUUCAUGAAGGAAAAAAGCAUAUAAGCCUAUGAGCUUCACUUGGACUUGAGCCCUGGGAAAAUCACCAAGUUGCACACUGUGGUACAGAAAAGCUGAAUGCAUCAGAUUUAAUGACCAGACAGCCAAAAUAACAGAAUAACUGAUCUACAGUGCCUUUUAAAAACUAAAGAAAUCUAUUAUCUCACAUAUGGAGAAAAUCAGAGGAAGAGCCGCUUUAGCCAAGACAUGAUAUAGUGUGAUAUGAUGUCACAAAAGACUCAGUUCCUCUACAUUUAAUUGCCCUGCCUUCCAUGUUUCUCCCUGUGAUUUAAGAUGAUUGCAGAAGCUUUGGGGCCUAGUUCAUUCACUUCCACCAGCAAUGAGAGCAUCUUUAAACCUAGGAUUUCCUACAAAACUUGGAACUACAAUGGUAAAUACCCUGGAUCUUUGGUUUUUCAAUCUGCAACUAAAGAAUAAAGAUCACUGAAAUAGACCAGUCUUAUGGUUUCUUCUUUCCCCUAAUCCCUUUCAAAACAAAACAGAAUAGACUUCAGUGACUCUGCACAUGCUUUGAUCAUCGUGGGAUUCUACCACCCAUUCUUACAUACCUGCAUGGACAUGAUCCAAGUUGGGUCGAGCAGUAUGGACAACAGGAAAGAGGACUCUUUCAUGUAUGGAUAUUGGGAGCAAGAAAUUCUCUUUCUGCUGGGGUUUCUAACUAGGAACAACAUGUGUUCUUCAUAUGAAUGACUUGAAAAUAACCAGCAUUUUGCAGCAACACAAGACAAAGGAAGCACCACUCUUAGAAUACCCAGUCAUAGGAAUCAAUAAAUUCUCUUUUUACUUAAGAUGGUUUCAACUGAAUUUCUAUCACUUGUACCUGAAAAAAUUCCUAACUAAUAAAUAUAUUUGUAUCACAUAUGGCAACCUCCUCAAUGAUGCUGUGAAUAAUUACUAGUUGUUUUUGGCCCAAUAUCAGAAUGAUUUCCUAAUAAAACUAAGUGAUAUAACAACUUUACAUUUUGUUUUUCAGCAAAUUCCACU
Long non-coding RNA from Leptonychotes weddellii (Weddell seal), 1151 nucleotides. RefSeq lists it as uncharacterized. The record is from RefSeq and is a predicted model, not a curated record. Lineage: Eukaryota; Metazoa; Chordata; Mammalia; Carnivora; Phocidae.